CCGCAAUGGACAAAAAGGUGACGACCCUAACCCCAGCAUCUCUCAUUGAUCUUCCUCAUGACAAAAGAACUGAAAACCCAAGCAACCUCCUUAUCCAUGGCAGCCGCAUAACACCAAGGACCCCUGUAUUAUCGUCUUCCUCACACCCCAUCGUCGGAUAAGAACGCAGCAACGAAAACCCAACAGACCCAAUCGUUUGCUUCGUCUUCUCCAGCGAACAAAGCCAACGCCGAGCACUCCUUCGACCAGAUUGCCCGAAACACACACACACAACUACCGUUCCACCCUCUCACAUCUGUUGCUACCAUGACUGGUCGGAAAUAUAGCAAAAAUAGUGACAGAACGUGAGAGGUUGCCAAUCAUCGAGCCGUUGAGGUCGUCGUUAUCUGUUCGAAGAUCAGUUGCCGGUUCGAGGUUCCAGGUUUCCGUUCUGGUCGAAAAUUCUAUAAUCUAGGCUUGUUGUUAUUUCUCGUUGGAUCACGGAACCAAUGGUUGUGUAUUCACUGAAGAACUCUCUUAGUGGAACUUUGUUUUUCAAGUUUUUUGAUUUGAAGUAUCGCUGUCUACCAAGUGCCUUCAAAGUCCAUAUUUCCAUUGUUUGCUUGCCAUUAAAUUUUGAGGCUUGUUCCUUUGUGCUUAAACAAAUGUAUUUCACUUUUUCCGCACAUAUUUGACUGAAAUUUCAGCUUCAGGUUUCCGGUCGUGGUUCUGGCUUCGGGUUCAUUAGUCCCGUUACUGUCCCUG
This 744-nucleotide long non-coding RNA is filed under the name Nicotiana benthamiana. Its description in RNAcentral is "long non-coding RNA (NBEN_LNC025146)". The record is from RNAcentral. Lineage: Eukaryota; Viridiplantae; Streptophyta; Magnoliopsida; Solanales; Solanaceae.